UACGAAGGGGGCUAGCGUUGCUCGGAAUUACUGGGCGUAAAGCGCACGCAGGUGGCUGAGUAAGUCGAUUGUGAAAGCCCUGGGCUUAACCUGGGAAUUGCAGUCGAUACUGCUCGGCUAGAGUAUGGGAGAGGGUAGUGGAAUUCCCGGUGUAGCGGUGAAAUGCGUAGAUAUCGGGAGGAACAUCAGUGGCGAAGGCGGCUACCUGGCCCAAUACUGACACUCAGGUGCGACAGCGUGGGGAGCAAACAGG
RNAcentral lists this ribosomal RNA (253 nucleotides) under uncultured bacterium. RNAcentral describes it as "partial 16S ribosomal RNA". It matches the Rfam family "Bacterial small subunit ribosomal RNA", at positions 524 to 776 of the family's 1533-position model. The record is from RNAcentral.